CUCCAGACUCCUACGGGAGGCAGCAGUGGGGAAUAUUGCACAAUGGGGGAAACCCUGAUGCAGCGACGCCGCGUGAGCGAUGAAGUAUUUCGGUGUGUAAAGCUCUAUCAGCAGGGAAGAAAAUGACGGUACCUGACUAAGAAGCCCCGGCUAACUACGUGCCAGCAGCCGCGGUAAUACGUAGGGGGCAAGCGUUAUCCGGAUUUACUGGGUGUAAAGGGAGCGUAGACGGCUGUGCAAGCCAGAUGUGAAAGCCCGGGGCUCAACCCCGGGACUGCAUUUGGAACUGUGUGGCUGGAGUGUCGGAGAGGCAGGCGGAAUUCCUAGUGUAGCGGUGAAAUGCGUAGAUAUUAGGAGGAACACCAGUGGCGAAGGCGGCCUGCUGGACUGCAACUGACGUUGAGGCUCGAAGGCGUGGGGAGCAAACAGGAUUAGAUACCCCCGUAU
RNAcentral lists this ribosomal RNA (447 nucleotides) under uncultured bacterium. RNAcentral describes it as "bacterial SSU rRNA". It matches the Rfam family "Bacterial small subunit ribosomal RNA", at positions 329 to 793 of the family's 1533-position model. The record is from RNAcentral.